GUUAUUGUUUACUAUUUGUCCUACAUGUUUGUUUAAUAUUGGACUUACAAACACACGGAAAUAUCAGGUGCUUCACUGCACCUUCAAGCGUUUUUCCAAUAAACAACAUAAAAUUUCUAAAUACAUUUAAAUUUUCGUAUUUCUAUAAAAUGUUACUAAUAAACGAUUUUGGCACAUUCUGUAUUUAAUUUGAGUGAAACGAUUCGAAGAGUUUAAAAAGACUUUUAUAUAUUAAUUCGUGUAAAAGUAUGAUUAAGCUGAAGUCUAUUAUCAAUUCAAGGCGUGUUAAUUUGUCCUAGUUUAGAUAAAAAAAAAAUUAAAACAAAAGGAUAAAUUUUUAAUGACUCGGAGUUCCUUCAGACACUUGUCAAAAACAAGAAGAUCAAAGCAGCCAUGUUAUUUGAUUCCACUUUCAGAUAUAUUGAUGAUAUUCUUUCCGUUAACAUCAUUGGGUUCCAUUAAUAUAUCCCCAAGACCUAGAAAUUAAAGAAACAACAGACGCAGCUUCCUCUGUCUCAUUUUUCGACUUAUAUUUCGAAUUUGACAUAUCUCAGUACUAGACUUUAUGACAAAUGAGAUGAUUUUUAUAUGUUGUGUCAUUUGUACUAUUGUUUGUUUAUCUUUUUCAUUUUUAGCCAUGGCGUGUUUUAGAUUUGUGAGUUUGACUGUCCCUUUGAUAUCUUUCGUCCCUCUUUUAUAUUAGAAUGAUAAAUUUUCCGCACCUUAGUAGCAAUAUACCAACUUCACCUGCAUAUCAGAUAAAAAUUUCCCAACUUAUUCGGUAUUCAAGAGCUUGUAACUCCUACUCAGACUUUGUAAAAACGUCACCAGUGUCUGAGCAGAAAGUUGAUGAACAGGGGUAUGUCAAAGAAUAUCUCGUCCCUUUUCUAAAGAAAUUAUCGGAAGGUACCAAGCCCUUGUUGAUUAAUAUCCCGCAUCAACUUCACAAAUAAUACACGAUGGUCUUGAAGUAAAGAUUCCGCGUAUUGACGUUGUUUA
Molecule: long non-coding RNA, 999 nt
Filed under: Mytilus galloprovincialis (Mediterranean mussel)
Lineage: Eukaryota; Metazoa; Mollusca; Bivalvia; Mytilida; Mytilidae
Source: RNAcentral